Molecule: ribosomal RNA, 575 nt
Filed under: Enterobacterales bacterium
Lineage: Bacteria; Pseudomonadati; Pseudomonadota; Gammaproteobacteria; Enterobacterales
Description: bacterial SSU rRNA
Rfam family: Bacterial small subunit ribosomal RNA
Source: RNAcentral
UGUGCCCUUGAGGCGUGGCUUCCGGAGCUAACGCGUUAAGUCGACCGCCUGGGGAGUACGGCCGCAAGGUUAAAACUCAAAUGAAUUGACGGGGGCCCGCACAAGCGGUGGAGCAUGUGGUUUAAUUCGAUGCAACGCGAAGAACCUUACCUACUCUUGACAUCCAGAGAAUUCGCUAGAGAUAGCUUAGUGCCUUCGGGAACUCUGAGACAGGUGCUGCAUGGCUGUCGUCAGCUCGUGUUGUGAAAUGUUGGGUUAAGUCCCGCAACGAGCGCAACCCUUAUCCUUUGUUGCCAGCACGUAAUGGUGGGAACUCAAAGGAGACUGCCGGUGACAAACCGGAGGAAGGUGGGGAUGACGUCAAGUCAUCAUGGCCCUUACGAGUAGGGCUACACACGUGCUACAAUGGCAUAUACAAAGAGAAGCAAACUCGCGAGAGCAAGCGGACCUCAUAAAGUAUGUCGUAGUCCGGAUUGGAGUCUGCAACUCGACUCCAUGAAGUCGGAAUCGCUAGUAAUCGUAGAUCAGAAUGCUACGGUGAAUACGUUCCCGGGCCUUGCACUCAGCGCCCGUCA